Molecule: ribosomal RNA, 253 nt
Filed under: uncultured bacterium
Lineage: Bacteria
Description: partial 16S ribosomal RNA
Rfam family: Bacterial small subunit ribosomal RNA
Source: RNAcentral
UACGUAGGUGGCAAGCGUUGUCCGGAAUCAUUGGGCGUAAAGAGCGCGUAGGCUGCUCGGUAAGUCCGCUGUAAAAGUCAAAGGCUUAACCUUUGAAUGUCAGUGGAAACUGCCGGGCUAGAGUCCGGAAGAGGCGAGUGGAAUUCCUGGUGUAGCGGUGGAAUGCGCAGAUAUCAGGAGGAACACCGGUGGCGAAGGCGGUUCUCUGGGCCUUACCUGACGCUGAGGAGCGAAAGCGUGGGGAGCAAACAGG